Molecule: ribosomal RNA, 292 nt
Filed under: uncultured bacterium
Lineage: Bacteria
Description: partial 16S ribosomal RNA
Rfam family: Bacterial small subunit ribosomal RNA
Source: RNAcentral
UAGGGAAUCUUCCACAAUGGACGCAAGUCUGAUGGAGCAACGCCGCGUGAGUGAAGAAGGUUUUCGGACCGUAAAGCUCUGUUGUUGGUGAAGAAGGAUAGAGGUAGUAACUGGCCUUUAUUUGACGGUAAUCAACCAGAAAGUCACGGCUAACUACGUGCCAGCAGCCGCGGUAAUACGUAGGUGGCAAGCGUUGUCCGGAUUUAUUGGGCGUAAGGCGAGCGCAGGCGGAAGAAUAAGUCUGAUGUGAAAGCCCUCGGCUUAACCGAGGAAUUGCAUCGGAAACUGUUUU